GGUGUUUACCCCAGGCUGCAUUGUAUUCUUACGCUGACUGUUUAGAAAGAGUAAACCUACCUCAUAGGUCCUUUCCCUGUUCUGUAUUGUGAAUGGGAAGACAUCA
Molecule: small nucleolar RNA, 106 nt
Organism: Castor canadensis (American beaver)
Lineage: Eukaryota; Metazoa; Chordata; Mammalia; Rodentia; Castoridae
Source: Ensembl